UUCUCAGGAGAGCUGGAUCCGAGCGGGU
Molecule: non-coding RNA, 28 nt
Filed under: Mus musculus (house mouse)
Lineage: Eukaryota; Metazoa; Chordata; Mammalia; Rodentia; Muridae
Source: RNAcentral